UCCAGAGAUGGAUGGGUGCCUUCCGGGGAACAUUGAGACAGGUGCUGCAUGGCUGUCGUCAGCUCGUGGCUUCGUGAGAUGUUGGGUUAAGUCCCGUAACGAGCGCAUACCCUUGUCCUUAGUUACCAGCACGUUAUGGUGGGCACUCUAAGGAGACUCCGGUGACAAACCGGAGGAAGGUGGGGAUGACCGUCAAGUCAUCAUGGCCCUUACGGCCUGGGCUCACACGUGCUACAAUGGUCGGUACAGAGGGUUGCCACGCGAGGUGGAGCUAAUCCCAGAAAACCGAUCGUAGUCCGGUCGCAGUCUCAACUCGACUGCGUGAAGUCGCAUUGGCUAGUAAUCGCGAAUCAGAUAUGUCGCGGUGAAUACGUUCCCGGGCCUUGUACACACCG
This 395-nucleotide ribosomal RNA is filed under the name uncultured Pseudomonas sp. RNAcentral describes it as "bacterial SSU rRNA". It matches the Rfam family "Bacterial small subunit ribosomal RNA", at positions 999 to 1392 of the family's 1533-position model. The record is from RNAcentral. Lineage: Bacteria; Pseudomonadati; Pseudomonadota; Gammaproteobacteria; Pseudomonadales; Pseudomonadaceae.